RNAcentral lists this ribosomal RNA (548 nucleotides) under uncultured Glomeromycotina. RNAcentral's name for it is "SSU rRNA". It matches the Rfam family "Eukaryotic small subunit ribosomal RNA", at positions 548 to 1098 of the family's 1831-position model. The record is from RNAcentral. Lineage: Eukaryota; Fungi; Glomeromycota.
UUGGAGGGCAAGUCUGGUGCCAGCAGCCGCGGUAAUUCCAGCUCCAAUAGCGUAUAUUAAAGUUGUUGCAGUUAAAAAGCUCGUAGUUGAAUUUCGAGACCGGUUUAUUGGUCGUGCUUUUGUACGUACUGGUAUUAUUGGUUUCUCCUUUCUGACGAAUCUUAAUGCCAUUAAUUUGGUGUUUUGGGGAAUCAGGACUGUUACUUUGAAAAAAUUAGAGUGUUUAAAGCAGGCUCACGCUUGAAUACAUUAGCAUGGAAUAACGGAAUAGGACGUUUGAUUCUAUUUUGUUGGUUUCUAGGAUCGACGUAAUGAUUAAUAGGGAUAGUUGGGGGCAUUAGUAUUCAAUUGUCAGAGGUGAAAUUCUUGGAUUUAUUGAAGACUAACUACUGCGAAAGCAUUUGCCAAGGAUGUUUUCAUUAAUCAAGAACGAAAGUUAGGGGAUUGAAGACGAUCAGAUACCGUCGUAGUCUUAACCAUAAACUAUGCCGACUAGGGAUCGGAUGAUGUUAAUUUUUUAAUGACUCAUUCGGCGCCUUACGGGAAAC